Molecule: non-coding RNA, 58 nt
Organism: Aedes albopictus (Asian tiger mosquito)
Lineage: Eukaryota; Metazoa; Arthropoda; Insecta; Diptera; Culicidae
Source: Rfam
UAGCCUAAAGGUUAAGGCUAUGGAUCGCCAAUCCGGAGACGGCGGGUUCGAUUCCCGU